AACUUUUGGCAAUGGAUCUCUUGGUUCUGGCAUCGAUGAAGAACGCAGCGAAAUGCGAUAAGUAAUGUGAAUUGCAGAAUUCAGCGAAUCAUCGAAUCCUUGAACGCACAUUGCGCCUCCGGGUAUUCCUGGAGGCAUGCUUGUUCGAGCGUCGUUAAAGACCAUGAGGCUUUGCCUUGCGAUGAGCCCUCCGAUCGAUUGAUCGGUGGCUUCAAACCGAUUGGCGUCUGAAGUUUAGCCCAAGCACAGCAAAAUGUGACUGUAAGCCGAGCGAAGGAUUGCCUGUUUCUCAUACAUAUAAAGGUCGACCUCGGAUCAAGCAAGAUUACCCGCUGAACUUAAGCAUAUCAAUAAGCGGAGGCU
This 363-nucleotide unclassified non-coding RNA is filed under the name uncultured Ascomycota. RNAcentral describes it as "sequence contains ITS2". The stretch from base 1 to 154 matches the Rfam family "5.8S ribosomal RNA". The record is from RNAcentral. Lineage: Eukaryota; Fungi; Ascomycota.